Molecule: ribosomal RNA, 464 nt
Filed under: uncultured bacterium
Lineage: Bacteria
Description: partial 16S ribosomal RNA
Rfam family: Bacterial small subunit ribosomal RNA
Source: RNAcentral
CUACGGGCGGCAGCAGUGGGGAAUAUUGGACAAUGGGGGAAACCCUGAUCCAGCAAUGCCGCGUGUGCGAUGAAGGCCUGCGGGUUGUAAAGCACUUUCGGUGGGGAAGAAAUGCUCAAAUAUAAUACAUUUGAGAGCUGACGUUACCCACAGAAGAAGCACCGGCAAACUCUGUGCCAGCAGCCGCGGUAAUACAGAGGGUGCAAGCGUUAAUCGGAGUUACUGGGCGUAAAGGGCGCGUAGGCUGAUGCUUAAGUCGGUUGUGAAAUCCCUGGGCUUAACCUAGGAAUUGCAGUCGAUACUGGGCGUCUAGAGUAUGGUAGAGGAAAGUGGAAUUUUCGGUGUAGUGGUUAAAUACGUAGAUAUCGAAAAGAACACCAGUGGCGAAGGCGACUUUCUGGACCAAUACUGACGCUGAGGCGCGAAAGCAUGGGGAGCAAACAGGAUUAGAUACCCUCGUAGUC